This 253-nucleotide ribosomal RNA is filed under the name uncultured bacterium. Its description in RNAcentral is "partial 16S ribosomal RNA". It matches the Rfam family "Bacterial small subunit ribosomal RNA", at positions 524 to 776 of the family's 1533-position model. The record is from RNAcentral.
UACGUAGGGUGCGAGCGUUAAUCGGAAUUACUGGGCGUAAAGCGUGCGCAGGCGGUUCGUUAUGUCCGAUGUGAAAGCCCCGAGCUUAACUUGGGAAUGGCAUUGGAAACUGGCGGGCUGGAGUGCGGCAGAGGGGGGUGGAAUUCCACGUGUAGCAGUGAAAUGCGUAGAGAUGUGGAGGAACACCGAUGGCGAAGGCAGCCCCCUGGGCCGACACUGACGCUCAGGCACGAAAGCAUGGGGAGCAAACAGG